GAUCCUCCUGCCUCGGCCUCUCAGGUAGCUAGGACUACAGAAGUCAAAUGCUAGUAUGAUGACUGAAGUGAGGAAAAGAUAUUGGAGCUGAAGAGAUUUACAUGAGUAGAACCGUUCCUAAUACUACUUUAAACAGAAGAAUAAACAUUGAAUGAAAGGGCAGUGAGGUACACCAGUUGCAGUCUGUUCUAACUGGAUAGUAACAAAAACAAUAGAGGAAAGGACACUCAGUUUGGUGUUGGGAGAAGAAAAGCCAGUACCUGAUAGUUUUAGCAGGUACAUAAAAUAUUACCAAGUAGAAAGCAGCAUCGUCUAAUGAAAUGAGACUUCUCAUACGCUCUGUAGAAGCAUUUCCUAGACUGUUUUUUCAAAUUCAAAAAUUUCAAGUGCACUUCCAAAAGUUUGUUGAAAGUGGCGUGGUGCAGCUUGGCGUGAAUUCACAGCUGUUUAACAUCUCAACGCUUUCAGAGAACUCGGCUUCUAAUUGGUUCCAAAGCCAAUUUAAGUUGUCUUAUCACGCAACGGGAACUCAAAAUGCUGAUUGGACUAAGACGCGUCGCUUACAACGUCUAUAAAUCAUGAUAGCGAUUGUUCUUGGAGGGAUUCUGUACAGAGCAGUUUACUUACUGUUAAAAAUUUAAACAUCACGUUCUCAAGUGGAAACUCGCAAUUAUUUGAGGAGAGAAAAAGGGAGAAAAAGAGCGUUCGGAACUUAGAAGAGUACGUUAAAAGGCACCAGGAAACAUUCACACAAAGGGAACGAUUUUCGUUUAAGUAUUUAUAGGAAUGGAACAUGUUUGCCUGCAGUGUUUCUGUGCUAAAAAUUUUCAGGAGUUAGUUAUAGAUCAUUCCUUUUUCUUCUUUAACUUCUCUUUCCUCAAAUCGGGUUUUAAUUAUCCUUCGAGAUGUGUGUUUUAAGUGGUAUGUCUUCGAUGUGGGUGUGUAAGCUAAUUCCAGGGAGGAGGGCAGAGUUAGCAAUAAACUACAACGCACUGGAACUAAGGAAUGUUCCUGUACCUUUUUUCCCCUGAUGUUUCUUUCCAGUAACAAAAUGUUAGUGUGAAAUCAUUGUACUGUAUUUAGUACCAAACAAAUAGGGAUUUCAUUUAUGCCUUUAAUAAUACCUGAAAAUAAAAAUAAAGCAGGCAAAUAAAUACAUUUCAGAUGACCUUGGGAGUACUACACAAGUAAAUCACGAGAGAUUAGCGAGCGAAGCACUGGACAAAUUGUUUGAAACAAAGGGAAAGUUUCUCAGCUCACAAGAUGAAAGCUUUGAUUUCCUCAUAAAAGAAAACUGUUAAGAAAUAAUUAUUUUCCUGAAAUACAACGUUCCAAAUAGGAAUUGGCGAGGGGAAGCAACAGUAUUUUAACACAUUUUGCAAUCUGCAGUGCUGUUUGAUUUUGUUGUAUAAUUUUUCGAUAUGCUUAAAAGGUGGAAAAUAGAAUUAAGAGGGUUGGAAACAUGAAAUGAAACAUUUUGGUUCUGAUAGUACCAAUCAGAAAGCAGAAAGGAACAGCCGCACACUGCCUUUAUUAUUCUUCAUAAAGGCUGUGGCAGAAGAGACACGCAGCAUGGGAGUCUCUGUGGCGCAAUCGGUUAGCGCGUUCGGCUGUUAACCGAAAGGUUGGUGGUUCGAGCCCACCCAGGGACGCGCCCUCGUUUUACGAGAUGGUCGCGGGUAGUUUUGUAGAAAUGGAGUUCAGGCCUCGGGCUAAGCUGGGGUGGAUUUCCAGGGACCAAGCGGAGAAACCACCGACCCUUACACUGCGCGGCCAGCCGGCGAGCCCUUCGGUUUCGCCCCGUCCUGAGCUACCUCCUCUACCCCGCUGUCCUCCCCCGGCUGCAGGUGAGCGCGGCCAGCCCUUCCCCGGGGUCGUCGCAGGGAUCUAGGCCUCGCCAGGGUCCCGGAGCGGGGACGCGCAGAGGCCGCGCGGGCCCGUUUGCCGCGCGCGACCGCCUCUCCAGUUGUGCGCGUUCCCGGAGGCCCGAGCGUACACAGGGAACGCGGCCCGGGCUGGUCUUGCUGGGCUUCGGGACGCCUGAAAUGUCACGGGGCCACCGCAAUGCAUGCAUUUCAACAGUGUCAAGUUCGAGCUGCAAACUGAAAACUCUCACAUUUUGUUGAAGCAUGGCCGCCCUUUUGUCUGUUCCCUGUCAGCGUAAACAUCUUCGUCUGCGACUUAAACAUUAAUUGUUCCUGGUGUUAAUGCCUACAGAAAUAAUUUUUGUUGCAGUAAAUCUUUCGUGUGGACAAUAUUGUAAGAAUAUAUAUUAUAUUCACUUUUUCUACUAAAACGCUUGAAUUUAUUAGAGAAUGGAAUAAGCCUGCAACACUUCCCAUCGAUGCAGAAAAGGAGAAAAACCUCUUUUAAAAUAGUAUGAUUGUUAAACCAAAAAAAAAGGAUGAGAAAGAUUAAAAGUGAAGCUGCUACAUAAUUCGCUUCAACUUUCUACUUUCAACGUCCCCUACUUUUAUUUCCCCAAAUGCAAAGCCCUCUCAAAAUAGUUUCCUUUUAUUUUAUUACUUUGAGAAAUAAUCCUAGUUUCAUCAUAACAAUUAUUGUCUUGGUUUGGACUACAGAAAGUUGAAAGAGAAUUCUGAAGAAAAGUGUAAGAACUAGUACAAAUGAUUCCUGUGGAUAUAUUGUUUUAUAUUCUUCGUUAUAUUUCAGCUCAGUUGACAUAUUAAUAAAGGCUAAUUUUAUUGAGCGCUUUCAUGGAGAAAGGUAUAUAAUCUUCAUAAGCCUUCCAGGUCCUAUUACUGCCAUUGUACAGAUGAGGCAACUGAGGCACAGUGCGACUGAGUAAUCAGCUGAGUAAUUUGCUUGAAGUCACAGUGAGUUUGGAACCUGGGUAGUCAGGCCCAUGCCCAAGCUCCUCCCUGCUGUACUGCCUGCUUGGAAGUUCCUUCCUCUAAAAUACAGCUACCCAAUUAGUUAAUUUAAAACCAAAAUGAUACUUGAAUUGGUUUUUAUGAAGUUUCGUUAAUAUUUUGCUCCAAAUCUCGUAAAGGGAGUAAAAUAAAAACCAACACAACAUUUAUGGCGUGCUAAAGGGUAUUGUUAAAUUAUGCAUUCAUUGGGCUGGUCAAUUUUAUUCAAAUGAAGGCUGUGUGUGAACAUGAAGUCUUCCUGGGGAAUGUGUCUUAGGGAAACAGUUUGUUAGCAUUUAGGUACAGAAGGCAAGAUGAGAGAGAGAGACAGGCAAAAUCUGGAAGGAGAUAGAUUCAGGCCAUGGAGUCUAGAAACUAAGGAUUCUUUGACCCCAAGCUGAUGUUUGGGAAUUGGGACAUCCACGGAGACCCCUGUUUCGGGACACUUUUGUGAGAUAGUACCAGAAUUUGUACUUGACUAGGGGCCUAGGUGGCAGUUUAAAAUUCAAUCUUCAAUUUCUAAGUACAUUCUAUUUCAUCCUAUUUUGGGUAUUAAUAUGAUUUAGAGACCAGAAAAUGAAGGAGAAUUAAAUGGGAAUGGAGGUGCCCCGCUGAGUGCAAAACUCCCCUCUAAUGUAAGCAGAAGCAGUUGCUGUUAUUAUGUGGACAAGUGCUUAGGCCAUUUCCUUGGCUCUUGCAGGCAGGUAAGAUAGGUAGGCCCCAGUGUGGGUGGCUGACACCGGUAGUCUCAGUACUUUUUUGAGGCCAAGGCAGGAGGAUUACUUGAGCCCAGGAGUUAGAGACCAGACUGGGCAACAGAAUGAGAUUCCAUGUCUACACAAAAUAAAACAUUAACCCAGCAUGGUGAUCACUUCAUUGCACUCCAGCAUGGGUCACAGAGCAAGACCCUAUCUCAGGAAACAAAAAAAGGUAGGUGGGCAACAAUUUGGAAGAAUUGCAUAAAUAUUUAUAAUUGCAUUGGCUUUAUAAAAUUUCAAUGUGUCAUGGUUGUAGAUGUUGCAAUAAAUGCUAUUUCUGA
Non-coding RNA from Macaca mulatta (Rhesus monkey), 3912 nucleotides. The record is from RefSeq and is a predicted model, not a curated record. Lineage: Eukaryota; Metazoa; Chordata; Mammalia; Primates; Cercopithecidae.